Molecule: ribosomal RNA, 1531 nt
Filed under: Candidatus Doudnabacteria bacterium RIFCSPHIGHO2_01_FULL_50_67
Lineage: Bacteria; Candidatus Doudnaibacteriota
Description: partial 16S ribosomal RNA
Rfam family: Bacterial small subunit ribosomal RNA
Source: RNAcentral
UUGACGGGGACCCGCACAAGCGGUGGAGCAUGUGGUUUAAUUCGACGGUAAGCGAGGAACCUUACCAGGGUUUGACAUUCUUCUGCAAGCGCACGGAAACGUGUGACCUUCGAGGGUGAAGAACAGGUGCUGCACGGUUGAAACUUCGACCCAUUCAGUGGAAACACUGGAUUGCAAACCGGACCAAAACGGUGAAACCCUAAUAGCUAUGUUAAAAUAUAGUUAUGGGCAAUACCGUGGGAAAUUCAAGCGCUGGGUUCUGCAAAUUUUUCGCAGAUCCGUCACAUGCAUAUAUACUUGGUUUGUGGUGCGCCGAUGGUUAUCAUCGGACGAGUAGUAUUGGUCUGAGCAAUGUUAACGAGAAUCUCAUACAAAAGUUCGCCGAUUUUCUAAAGACAUUGCUUCCUGCUGAUAGAUUAAAGCUAAAGGUAUAUCUAAACCGAAACAUAGUUGCUAAAACUGUAAGUUUUGGAAUUUUGGAUAUCAAAAAUUUCUAUUCAGCAAAAGCCAAACAACCAGCUUAUCAUGUAUAUGUAAAUUCCAGACCGUUGUUAUCAGAAUUCAAGUUAGCAAAACUAAGCAACAAGGACUUUGAUUCAAUUCAAGCGACUUAUGCUUAUUUGGCUGGCAGGUUUGAUGGCGAUGGAACUAUUGGAAAAGACAUGCGCAGAGAUUUAAGGAUUAGUUAUACUACCAAACUUGAAGCAGAAGCAGAUAAAGAGCUUCUGGAAAAAUUGGGCUUCAGGCUUUGCAAAGUAUAUUAUUAUAAAACCUCUGUUGCUUAUGUCUUGUAUGUGUCGAGGUUUGAAGCAGAAAAAUUUAUCGAAAAGAUAUUGCUUUAUUCAUUAAGGUUGCAGAAUUCAGCGUUUGAAUCCCGUAGAGACUUGAUUGCUAUUAAAAGCCAGCAAUCGGAUGCCAAUUUGGCAUAAUACGGCCGGCUCCGUAAUUGUUUGUCGCAAACGGAGAUGGUAUAGUCCGUACCAUCCGCCUACGCUCUUAAAUUAGAGAGCUUCGGCGGACACGCCAUAGCCUUGCGCGAAGGCGUGUUAGUAAUAAUGGAUUAAUACGGUCGUCAGCUCGUGUCGUGAGAUGUUCCCUUAAGUGGGAGAACGAGCGCAACCCCCGUGAUAUGUUGAUUUUCAUAUCAGACUGCCGGCGUUUAAGCCGGAGGAAGGUGGGGAUGACGUCAAAUCAGCGUGGCUUUUACGCCCUGGGCGACACACGUGCUACAAUGGGUAGGAACAAAGGGACGCAAUACCGCAAGGUGGAGCAAAUCCUCUCAAAAACUACCCUCAGUUCGGAUUGAGGGCUGCAACUCGCCCUCAUGAAGCUGGAAUCGCUAGUAACCGUGAAUCAGCCUCGUCACGGUGAAUACGUUCUCGGGUUUUGUACACACCGCCCGUCACACCAUGGAAGUGGUUAAUACCCAAUAUCUGCGCAAGCGGACUAAGGUAAGAAUCAUGACUGGGGUGAAGUCGUAACAAGGCAUCGGUAGCGGAAGCUGUCGAUGGAUCACCUCCUUUCUAAGGAG